RNAcentral lists this ribosomal RNA (460 nucleotides) under uncultured bacterium. RNAcentral describes it as "partial 16S ribosomal RNA". It matches the Rfam family "Bacterial small subunit ribosomal RNA", at positions 338 to 795 of the family's 1533-position model. The record is from RNAcentral.
CCUACGGGAGGCAGCAGUGAGGAAUAUUGGUCAAUGGACGAGAGUCUGAACCAGCCAAAUAGCGUGAAGGAUGACUGCCCUAUGGGUUGUAAACUUCUUUUAUAUGGGAAUAAAAUGUUCCACGUGUGGGAUUUUGUAUGUACCAUAUGAAUAAGGAUCGGCUAACUCCGUGCCAGCAGCCGCGGUAAUACGGAGGAUCCGAGCGUUAUCCGGAUUUAUUGGGUUUAAAGGGAGCGUAGAUGGGUUGUUAAGUCAGUUGUGAAAGUUUGCGGCUCAACCGUAAAAUUGCAAUUGAUACUGGCAGGCUUGAGUACAGUUGAGGUAGGCGGAAUUCGUGGUGUAGCGGUGAAAUGCUUAGAUAUCACGAAGAACUCCGAUUGCGAAGGCAGCUUACUAAACUGCCACUGACAUUGAUGCUCGAAAGUGUGGGUAUCAAACAGGAUUAGAUACCCGAGUAGUC